This is a long non-coding RNA of Gasterosteus aculeatus aculeatus (three-spined stickleback), 408 nucleotides long. NCBI's taxonomy places the organism in Eukaryota, Metazoa, Chordata, Actinopteri, Perciformes, Gasterosteidae. The record is from Ensembl.
GGUGCAUUAAAUGUCUGGCUCUGUGUCAUAAGGCUGCGAGUCUCACAGAAGACACAAGUAGAACAAGGGGUUCCCAAUAAGUCAGCGGAUCGCCUGCCUUUGGAAAAAAACAAUCACGUCGGUUGACCGAAAAAACGUUCUGAAGCGACCCUGUCUGACUCCAAUCAGCGCUGGUCAUCGAGGAAGGUCUCAUUUACCCAUGAUCCCACACUCCGGCGGCUUCGUGUUUUUUGAUGUCCAGAGGGGCCGAGUCCGAUUUAUCAUGUUUUAAGAUGACGCCUCCCAUUCAUCACCGACGGACACUCUGCUGCUUCAUUAGCCAAUAUCAGACUAUCACACCAACACCUGAAUACCAUAAUGGGAAGGAGAAAGAAGAAGAAGAAGAGAUUCACAUGUAGAGAAAGAUGA